RNAcentral lists this ribosomal RNA (712 nucleotides) under uncultured bacterium. Its description in RNAcentral is "bacterial SSU rRNA". It matches the Rfam family "Bacterial small subunit ribosomal RNA", at positions 91 to 862 of the family's 1533-position model. The record is from RNAcentral.
CGGAGCGGCAGACGGGAGUAACGCGUGGGAACGUACCCCCCCGGUGCGGAAUAACUCAGGGAAACUUGAGCUAACCGGAUACGGCUGAGAGGCGAAAGAUUUAUCGCCGGGGGAUGGGCCCGCGUCCGAUUAUAGUUGGUGUGGUAACGGCGCACCAAGGCGACGAUCGGUAGCUGGUCUGAGAGGAUGAAGCCACAUUGGGACUGAGACACGGCCCAAACUCCUACGGGAGGCAGCAGUGGGGAAUAGGACAAUGGGCGCAAGCCUGAUCCAGCCAUGCCGCGUGAGUGAUGAAGGCCUUAGGGUUAAAGCUCUUUCACCCACGACGAUAAUGACGGUAGUGGGAGAAGAAGCCCCGGCUAACCGUGCCAGCAGCCGCGGUAAUACGAAGGGGGCUAGCGUUGUUCGGAAUUACUGGGCGUAGCGCGUGUAGGCGGGCUUUUAAGUCAGGGGUGAAAUGCCAAGGCUCAACCUUGGAACCCUUUGAUACUGGAAGUCUUGAGUCCGGGAGAGGUGAGUGGAACUGCGAGUGUAGAGGAAAUUCGUAGAUAUUCGCAAGAACACCAGUGGCGAAGGCGGCUCACUGGCCCGGAACUCGCUGAGACGCGAAAGCGUGGGGAGCAAACAGGAUUAGAUACCCUGGUAGUCCACGCUAAACGAUGGAUGCUAGCCGUUGGGGAGCUUGCUCUUCAGUGGCGCAGCUAACGCUUAA